This 202-nucleotide unclassified non-coding RNA is filed under the name uncultured Ascomycota. Its description in RNAcentral is "sequence contains ITS1". Lineage: Eukaryota; Fungi; Ascomycota. The record is from RNAcentral.
CCGAGUUUACAACUCCCAAACCCCUGUGAACUUAUACCUCUACUGUUGCUUCGGCGGGUUAUUGCCCCGGGGAAACAGGCGGCCGUCAGGUCCCUGCCCACCCGGAAACAGGCGCCCGCCGGAGGGACCAACCAAACUCUUUCUGUAGUCCCCUCGCGGACGUUAUUUCUUACAGCUCUGAGCAAAAAUUCAAAAUGAAUCA